Molecule: ribosomal RNA, 577 nt
Filed under: Salmonella enterica
Lineage: Bacteria; Pseudomonadati; Pseudomonadota; Gammaproteobacteria; Enterobacterales; Enterobacteriaceae
Description: partial 23S ribosomal RNA
Rfam family: Bacterial large subunit ribosomal RNA
Source: RNAcentral
UGGGCGUUAAGUUGCAGGGUAUAGACCCGAAACCCGGUGAUCUAGCCAUGGGCAGGUUGAAGGUUGGGUAACACUAACUGGAGGACCGAACCGACUAAUGUUGAAAAAUUAGCGGAUGACCUGUGGCUGGGGGUGAAAGGCCAAUCAAACCGGGAGAUAGCUGGUUCUCCCCGAAAGCUAUUUAGGUAGCGCCUCGUGAAUUCAUCUCCGGGGGUAGAGCACUGUUUCGGCUAGGGGGCCAUCCCGGCUUACCAACCCGAUGCAAACUGCGAAUACCGGAGAAUGUUAUCACGGGAGACACACGGCGGGUGCUAACGUCCGUCGUGAAGAGGGAAACAACCCAGACCGCCAGCUAAGGUCCCAAAGUCAUGGUUAAGUGGGAAACGAUGUGGGAAGGCCCAGACAGCCAGGAUGUUGGCUUAGAAGCAGCCAUCAUUUAAAGAAAGCGUAAUAGCUCACUGGUCGAGUCGGCCUGCGCGGAAGAUGUAACGGGGCUAAACCAUGCACCGAAGCUGCGGCAGCGAACGUAUCACCCAAGACAACUUUACGGAGUUGACGAUUGACGGAGCGAAGCGAC